UAAUGGUUAAUACCUGAGCAGAACUGGU
Molecule: non-coding RNA, 28 nt
Filed under: Rattus norvegicus (Norway rat)
Lineage: Eukaryota; Metazoa; Chordata; Mammalia; Rodentia; Muridae
Source: RNAcentral